This 249-nucleotide ribosomal RNA is filed under the name uncultured bacterium. RNAcentral's name for it is "partial 16S ribosomal RNA". It matches the Rfam family "Bacterial small subunit ribosomal RNA", at positions 8 to 252 of the family's 1533-position model. The record is from RNAcentral.
AGAGUUUGAUCCUGUCUCAGGACGAACGCUGGCGGCGCGCCUAACACAUGCAAGUCGAACGAGAGAGAAGGAGCUUGCUUCUUCGAUCGAGUGGCGAACGGGUGAGUAACGCGUGAGGAACCUGCCUCAAAGAGGGGGACAACAGUUGGAAACGACUGCUAAUACCGCAUAAGCCCACGGGUCGGCAUCUACCUGAGGGAAAAGGAGCAAUCCGCUUUGAUAUGGCCUCGCGUCCGAUUAGCUAGUUGG